RNAcentral lists this ribosomal RNA (512 nucleotides) under uncultured Anaplasma sp. Its description in RNAcentral is "bacterial SSU rRNA". It matches the Rfam family "Bacterial small subunit ribosomal RNA", at positions 92 to 638 of the family's 1533-position model. Lineage: Bacteria; Pseudomonadati; Pseudomonadota; Alphaproteobacteria; Rickettsiales; Anaplasmataceae. The record is from RNAcentral.
UUAGUGGCAGACGGGUGAGUAAUGCAUAGGAAUCUACCUAGUAGUAUAGGAUAGCCACUAGAAAUGGUGGGUAAUACUGUAUAAUCCCUGCGGGGGAAAGAUUUAUCGCUACAUGAUGAGCCUAUGUUAGAUUAGCUAGUUGGUGGGGUAAUGGCCUACCAAGGCAGUGAUCUAUAGCUGGUCUGAGAGGAUGAUCAGCCACACUGGAACUGAGACACGGUCCAGACUCCUACGGGAGGCAGCAGUGGGGAAUAUUGGACAAUGGGCGCAAGCCUGAUCCAGCUAUGCCGCGUGAGUGAGGAAGGCCUUAGGGUUGUAAAACUCUUUCAGUGGGGAAGAUAAUGACGGUACCCACAGAAGAAGUCCCGGCAAACUCCGUGCCAGCAGCCGCGGUAAUACGGAGGGGGCAAGCGUUGUUCGGAAUUAUUGGGCGUAAAGGGCAUGUAGGUGGUUUGGUAAGUUAAAGGUGAAAUGCCAGGGCUUAACCCUGGAGCUGCUUUAAUUAACUGCCA